Molecule: long non-coding RNA, 7635 nt
Filed under: Homo sapiens (human)
Lineage: Eukaryota; Metazoa; Chordata; Mammalia; Primates; Hominidae
Description: non-protein coding lnc-NPBWR1-12:3
Source: RNAcentral
CUCGCACCGGCGCUGGGGUGCAGGCUUUCAGUGGUCUCAGGGCUACGGCUUGUCGGUGCCUCGCCGCACAGUCCCCUUUGCAUUGAAGGACACGGUCUUACGGUGUAGGAGCAUUUUUGAGGUGCAUUCCUGGAUUUGGAGGCGAACCCCCAAUGGUUACCUCCACAGAGGCUUUGCGAAGGGCGCUCACUGACUUAGGUGAAGAGCGAAGGCUCAAGACUGUGCCGCUUUAUAGUGGCCCCUUGACGUCCAGAAGUUCCCCCCAGCGCCGGUCAUAAGCACUCCCGCCGCCUGGGCCCCGCCCUGCCUGCCAGGCGCCCUCCAGCCUCAGCUCCCGGACGCCCGGCGUGGCCGCUUUCUCGCGUCUUGCUGACCCGGGCCGGGGGCGUGUGCUCCUCCUGCAGCGGACGGAAGAUGCUGGGCCACGCAAGUUUCCCUGGGCUUGGUUAACCACCCCAAAGCCCAUUUCCAGAAGGAAAGGGUGUUGAGGAGGAGGGAUAGAAAGUCGAGAAGAGGGCCGGGUGAGUGGCUCACGCCUGUCAUCCCAGCACUUUGGGAGGCCGAGACAGGCGGAUCACCUGAGGUCAGGACUUAGAGACCAGCCUGGCCUACAUGGUGAAACCCCGUCUCUACUAAAAAUACAAAAAUUAGCCGGGUGUGGUGCCGUGCGCCUGUAGUCCCAGCAACUCGGGAGGCUGAGGUAGGAGAAUCGCUUGAACCCGGGAGUCGGAGGUUGCAGUGCUGAGAUGGCACCUGGCCUGGGCGGCAAGAGCGAAACUCCAUCUCAAAAAAAAAAAGAAGAGGAAAUGAGGCAUAGGGGCAGGCGAGCCGGGAAAAUAUUGCUACUAAGGAUCCUAAGCAGUGAACAUGCUGUUAAUACUUGUAAGACUCCUAGCAAACUGCAUUUAAUUUUUUAAAUUAGUUUUAGUGUACAUAAAGGCAUGUCUUUUCCAAAUACUGUACUUUUUGAAGUGUUCUUUGUUGUUCAUUAAUCUUUGUGCGUUUCCCUUCAGUCUCUAAUAGUAGGUUGUAGCAUGAUUUGCUUCCAUCGUGUGAAUUCUGUUCGGUUUUGAUUUUCAAGUAUGAGAGUGAGCGUAAGCUACCCUUAUAGGUUACCUAAGGUAAGUUAGAAUUAGAACGUCUUUAUGCUAGGGUUACUACUCCCCACCAUAACCAACCAUCUGCAAAAGCGUUCAGAAAGAACAUGCUAGCAAGGUCAAAAGCUUCAAAUCACGAAAUAAGAACUUGAAAACGAGCAAAAUUGCUGCUGAGGCGCUCUGCCAUUUAACUCAAAGGCUUCACUUUAUUUAGGUUUAAAGUAUGAGUGCAUAUUCAGUGGACAUUGAGCUCCGAACUGUUCAAAAUCUCUAUUCAUCUGCAUUCUGGAGUAGAGCUGCGGGUCACAUUAUUAGCUCCAUCUUUGGAUUUCUGCCUGGACCCAGGGCACUCCUAACCGUUGUGGGAUCAUAUAACAAUCUUACAGGAUGAAUUUUCUGUUAGUCCAAGCAGAAAUUUUGGCACAUGAAAACUAUCUUACCAUAAACAAACAAAAAAAGUACAAAUGGUAAUCUAAGGAAAAUAGCUAAAAUCAUUAAACAACUCUUACAGCCGUUUCCCCUGUUUUCUCUCCAUUUUUUAAAAGCAUAUUUUCCUUUACUUUCUUCCUUCUGCUAUGGGAAUUUUUCAGGGUUCUAGACCUUUUUUCUCUUCUGCGGCUGGAAAGUUAAACACAGGUCAUUUUUUAAAUAAGACUGCUAGUAAAUACCUUCUUAAUAAACAACACCAAAUGCUAGUCUUGUGGGUGAGUAGUUGAACAGCAAGUAAAGCACUCUAUCACCUGUAAUUUUCCUGUGGUAGGCACACCCCAUCUCUACCUUCACGUAAUUUCUGAUUAUGCCUCCAUACCUUACACAUAUAAUUCAUUUGUGGGUGGGGGCGACAGAGUCUUUUGCUCUUUUGCCCAGGCUGGAGUGCAGUGGCAACCUCUGCUCACUGCAACCUCCACCUCCCGGCUUCAAGCAGUUCUGCCUCAGCCUCCCAAGUAGCUAGGAUCACAGGAGCGCACCACCACCCCCUGCUAAUUUUUGUAUUUUUAGUAGAGAUGGGGUUUCCCCUGUUGGCUAGGCUGGCCUCAAACUCCGAUCUCAAGUGAUCCACCCGCCUCGGCCUCCCAAAGUGUUGGGAUUACAGGCAUGAGCCACCACGUCUGGCUAUAAUUCACUUCUUGUGUGUGACUUCCUACUAAUUUGUAAUCAUGAAAGUUGGGCACAUACCCAGUAUGCUCACUAUUUCUCUGCAGGGCCUGAUACAGUGGCUGCUACAACACUGAUACUCUGCAUUUGUUGAAUGAGUAAUUUAAAUUUUAAAUUAUCAUCUAGAAUCAUUUAGAGAUUUAUUUAGACUUUGAUAAAUUUAGAUAACCCACACACAGUUUAUUCCUAGAGUUCUUGAUACAUUGUUACAGUAAGUUUGGUCCUGGCAACAGCAAUAACACUUACUGUAAUAACUUAAUUCUUCAUACGAGGUUGCUUCACUUUUAUUAUUAAGCAGAAAAUACCCAAAGUAAAAUUGAGCUAUUUGGGACUCCUUUCAGAAUACUGUGUAGGCUGAAGCAUUGUUGUAUCAGAAGUGCUCUGUUAUUUGAAUGCAUAAGGUAUUCAACAAACAAAUGCUUAUUAAAUUAAAUGGUAUUCAGCAUACAGCUACUGUCACCGUGCUAGGAGUUCACAUUUUUCAUAUGCGUGGCAGUUAGCACUGGUGCAUGUUUCCUUCAGCCUCAGAAAUGGAGGUGUCUGCGUGUUGCCCAGAUCUACCUUGAAAACUCUAGUUGCUUCCUAACACCUAGGUUGUAUAGUGGGACUUGAUUAUGUUUUAUAAAGCCAAGUCUGGUCUGUGAGGACUGAAAGGAUUUCCUCAUCUUAACUCUAAUUUGGCCUGCAAUGUCUGGGGAAAACCCAAAACUAAAAUGUAACUAAAUGUGGAACUGUUUUUUUCUGCAGUUUGAUUUCCUUGUACCAUUUUCAGUACAGUUAAAUUCAUCACCUCCCCUACCUCACCAUCCCCCUCCCCCUGCAAAAAAAAAAAAAGCAAAAACAGAAGUAUUUUCUCUCUUAAAGAGAAUUGUCAUUGGCCAGGCACAGUGGCUCACGACUAUAGUCCCAGCCCUAUAGGAAGCAGAGGUGGGAGAAUCAUUUGAGCUCAGAAGUUGCAAGAUUUCAAGAUCAGCCUGAGCAACAUAGUGAGACCUCAUCUCUGCAAAAAAUUUAAAAAUUACCUGAGUGUGGUGAUGCAUGCCUGUAGUCCCAGCUAUUCCAGAAGCUGAGAUGGGAGGAUUACUUGAGCCCAGGAGUUAGUUUCUAAUUGGAUGUAGUCUGCACAGGCAGAUUUCAUUUUCAGUAUUAAAAAGGUCAGUAAUUUCUGAAAUAUUCACUUGACAAUUAAUAGGAUUAAAUGACUUUGGGAAAGCAUAAUUUUAUUUUAAAUUGCACAUAUAAUCCCUCAAUUACAUAGAUUUUAAUGCUAGGAUAAUCUUCCAAUAAAAGGAAAUAUAAGUUAUCAAAAAAUGAAUUUCUUUUAGAAAAAUAAGCAUUUAUAAUUUAUUGUCUACAGUAAACAAAAAGUGACUUUAACUCACAAGUUAAAAUUACUCUUAUAUGGUGCUUAAUCUAUAUAAAUAUCUUUCCUUUAUUAAAAAUUCUGCUUCUUAAAAAACAGAAUCAUGGAGUGGAGAAAAAGGAAAACUUCUGCUUGUAAACUUAAGUGCAUCAAAACUGUGGAUAAACAUCUUUUUAAUGUAUAUGUAAAAUUUAAUAUUUUUUAAAGAAUCUAUUAAAGUUCAAUAAACAUUUUCUGACACUAUGAUAGAUGCUGAGGAUAUUGCAAUAAUAUAUGAUAUAGCUUCUGUCUUAAUAAACUUACAUUCAAAUAAUAGAAGGAGGAAAGUGACCCUUGACAUAAUAGUAAGGGUACAAAUAAAAUACUCUUGCUCCAUAGUAGUGUUCCAUGGCAGAAGUCAAAUUUGAAUCAAGCUUUGAAAUUUGAAUAGAAUUUUUGAAUUAUGGAGAUAAAGAGAAUAGCUAUUUUAGGAACAUGGAAUAUAAAAGAAUAACGCUUACAUAGAUCAUUUGUUUUCAAAGAGCAGAGAUUAAUCUGAUUUAGCUAGAACAUAGAAUGCAAAAAGGAUAAUGGGAGCUAAGCCUAGAAAGAUAGACUGCAGCCAGAUUUUGGUGGUCAUUAGAUUGGAUGCAACAGCCAGCAAGGAGCCAAAACUUAAGUGUUCACUUUUAUGUAAAUGUAGCUGACGCAAGUACCUUGUAUUAGAACUAAAAAUUAUGCUGUAUAUAACUAUUACUGUAGUUAGGUGAAACCAUUUCAGAGUCUGCUUUAGUGAUUCAUAGUGUAAAUGAAGUUACUGUGUUUAUGUGUGUGUGUGUGUGCACAUUAUAUGUAUGUAUGUGUGUUUUUAAGUAUGACAUUUGAAUUCUGAAAUGAAGAUGAAAAAGGCUUUGGUCAGUAAACCUGUCUUUCUUGGUCAGAUACUGAACCACAGUAGUAAGUCCAGGCACUGAAAUGAUAAUUCAUAUGUAUGGAUUCUUCUUGGCUCUAGGUUGAUGAACAGAGCAAUUAUGAAGAGUUGACUAGAACCAACUGAUCUUUUUUUUUUUAAUUCCACUAAAUAGAAUAGUUUGCUAAAAAUAAUAGUAAAAAUAGGAGCUGUGACAACAAAUUCAUUAUUAGGGCAGAACAGAGACUUUGAAAUGAAAAAUCCUAAAACAAAAGCUAACCUCGAUAAUGAACUCUUUUUUCAGCAAAAAUACCUCAAAAUGUUAUUUCAAUUCUGUGUUCCUUCAAGGAGAUAUUUACAGAGCGUGAUCCACACCAAAGUCCCUGGAAAAGUGUUCAGUGUUGCCCAACUUGAAGGUCAUGGCUAAGUGAUAAAUGUAGUCUAAAAAACACAGGUGGUUGGAUCACACUGUUUCCACUGCCCCUGCUGCCAGGACUAGCUAUAAACCAGUGUGUAACAUGAGCAGCAUGUAUUGCAGCUAUCCUCCCUCCUUUCUUUUCCGUAACCUCAGUAAGCAGUGCCCUCAGGCUGCCUGCAGCUGUGCGGGUGCCCCCUCUAUGGUGUCAUCCAUGCCUUCUCCAUCAGUGCUGUCCUUUGACCCCACCUUUCUUCUCCUAAUCUGCAAUGUGUCCUGCUGGACACAGGACUCAGCUAGAACCAUGUUAGAAAGACCAUGUGAUAAAAAAAAAAAAGUUAAUGACAAGAUACUUAAUAUAUGAAAUCAGCUUUAUUUCCCUCCAGGAAUAUUUUUAUUUAAACAGUUCUUAAAAACUCAAUCUACAAUUUUUACAAAGGAAUUAAAUAAUGAUGUUCUAUUACUUAUAAGGAAUUUGAGGCCUCAGGAGUAAGCUAUAGCUAGAUUGUUUUAGGCAGGAGGACUUUCUGUGUUCUUAGCUUCCCUUGGUUUCUAAUUAAAAGGUUGGAAAAUGAGAUACAUCUCUGACAUAUUAGUUUAUAUAGUUGGCCUUCCAUAUCCAUGGGUUCCACACCAUAGAGUCAACCAACCACAGAUGGAAAAUAUUCCCCCCAAAAAUGGAUGGUUGCAUCUGUACUAAAUGUGUAGACUUUUGUUUGAUCAUUAUUCCCUAAACAAUACAUGCUGAAUUUCCUACCAGAGACAAAAGCUUCAGUCAUAUUUUUUAUAUACUUAUAUCUUAGGCAAGACUUUAAUAAACCAAGAAAUGGUUAAUUUUCACAAAAUAUAUGUUAAUAGACCAUUAAUGCCAGUGCAUGAAUUAGCUUAUGGUUUUUGUUCCUAGCUACCGUUUUUUGUUGUUGUAUUUUUUGGAGACAGAGUCUCACUCUGUUGCCCAGGCUGGAAUGCAGUGAUGUGAUCAUAGCUCACUGCAGUCUUGAACUCCUGGGUUUAAGCAAUCCUCCUGCCUCUGCCUCCUAAGCAGCUGGAACUACAUGCAUGUGCCACAUCAUGGAGCUAAUUUUUAAAUUCUUAGUAGAGAUGGAAGUCUCAUAAUGUUGCCCAGGCUGGUCUCAAACUCCUGGCCUCAAGUGAUCCUCCUGCCUCAGCCUCCCAAAGUGCUAGGAUUACUAGUGUCAGCCACCGUGCCUGCCCCUAGCUACUGUUUAAGUUCAGGAAUAUCAAAGAAAAAAAGCACCAGACGACUGGGCACGGUGGCUCACACCUGUAAUCCCAGCACUUUGGUAGGCCGAGGCAGGCGGAUCACGAGGUCAGGAGAUCGAGACCAUCCUGGCUAACACGGUGAAACCCCGUCUCUACUAAAAAUACAAAAAAUUAGCUGGGCGUGGUGGCGGGCACCUGUAGUCCCAGCUACUCGGGAGACUGAGGCAGGAGAAUGGCGUGAACCUGGGAGGCGGAGCUUGCAGUGAGCCAAGAUUGCGCCACUGCACUCCAGCCUGGGCGACAGAGUGACACUCCAUCCCCCCCCCAAAAAAGAAAAAGAAAACAAAAGCACCAGACAAGGUAAACAGGAAAGGAAGACUUCAUAUAACAUUUACAUUAUAUUAGAUAUUAUUAGUAAUCUAGACAUUAUUUAUCAUAUAUGGGAGGAUGUGCAUAGGUUAUAUGCAAAUACUACCGUAUUUUAUAUCAGGGAUUUGAGCAUCCAGAUGUUGGUAUCCAAGGGUGGGAAGUCCUGGAACCAACCCCCUAUGGAUACCGAGGGGCAACUGUAUUUUUAUUUUACACCUUUUUCUUUUCCCCUAAUGUAUUUUAGCAGAUAGCCAAUUGUGUGAUUCCUUGCCUUGGUGAUGUAAUGAAGUUUUUGGCAGGGCAAAAAGCAGACUUUUCUUGUACAGCAAUGACCCUAAUUUCCUCCCGACACUAUAAAUGGAAAAGAGGAAUAUGGAUUCAUUGAGCAGUAAAACAAGCCAAAAUCUGUUUACCAAACAGCAUCAUAGCAGGUGGCAAAACCUCAGGGGAAAUGGAUGCAUGCUACACAUAGGCAGGAGUUUUCCACUUGGGGUUUCCACCUUUGCCUCAUUUCCUCAUGCCCCACAUGUAGAAUCGAAUCUGCAGAACUUCCAGAACUGAAGGGUCCAUCCCAGCUAGGACAACAAGCCUCUCACAACCAAUGGCUUAUGACCCACAGAGCCUCCUCAAUGAUUUGACUAUAUGUGAGAUUCCAGAAUAUUUUAAUCAUCCUGUAGAUAGGAGACCUGAGAGUAUAACUCAAAGAAAAAUUUCUCGUUUGUUUCAAAAAAUAUGAGCUCAAAGUCAAAAAUAAUUUAUUAAUUAUUUUUAAAAAUUUAAAUAAUUAGAAUAUACUUGGCUUACCAGAUUUUCUAAACUGAGCUAUCCUCUUUGACUAGGCUAUAUUACCUUAUGAUCUAAAACUUAAACAAUCUCUUGUGGUUGUUUAAUGACAUUCCAACAUGUCAUGAGAAAAUAUUCUUGGAAAGCUGUCUGGUGGUCAGGGGUUCUCAACACCUCUACUUUUGCUUGCCACGUACUUCAGACGACCACACAGCCUGGUUUGCUCAAGUCAGUCCCAGUUUAUGACUGUUAUCCUGAUGGAAUGACUAAUGGUUUUCCAUGUCACUCUCAGAAGUGUCCAGGUUUGGAUGAUAAAUUAUAUAUAUAUAUCUCUCUCUGC